UCCCCAGGGUCUCAGAUGGUAGAGAAUCUGCCUGCAAUGCAGGAGAUCUGGGUUCAGUCCCUGGGUUGGGAA
Molecule: transfer RNA, 72 nt
Filed under: Ovis aries (sheep)
Lineage: Eukaryota; Metazoa; Chordata; Mammalia; Artiodactyla; Bovidae
Rfam family: tRNA
About the family: Transfer RNA (tRNA) molecules are approximately 80 nucleotides in length. Their secondary structure includes four short double-helical elements and three loops (D, anti-codon, and T loops).
Source: Rfam by way of RNAcentral